Molecule: long non-coding RNA, 603 nt
Organism: Symphalangus syndactylus (siamang)
Lineage: Eukaryota; Metazoa; Chordata; Mammalia; Primates; Hylobatidae
Source: RefSeq, a predicted model, not a curated record
GUGCCGUGGUAUUUGGCCUCUACGAGCAUUGGGUAGGAAGUUCAUUGAUUGCUUCGUAACAACUCCUACAACAAUUUUCUGAGGCUCUCUCCUAGACAACAUCGCUCGUAAUGGACGGUUCAAGCCAAAUUAUCCAUUAUUGUUCCCAAAGUUUACAAUUAAACUAUCGAUCAAAACUGGCAGUGAUUUCUCCAGCAGCCUGAGCUUCGAAGCAGCUGAAUUACAUCAGAACACGAGUGUGUGGAGCCAGAAGGUGACACAGACAGACAGAUACCAGACAGACAGUGGCACCUUCUACCAACCACCCUGGGAUCCAGCCUUUGGCAAUUUUCCUUGAGCCGAGAAGCAGGCUGCCACCCCAGCUAUGUAGAGUGGGUUUGAGGUUUUAAUAGCCAGAGGUGCCCGCAAUUUGCAACCUCUAUCCCUGGCUGUAAAAAUUGGAGUUUAACAGGUUCGGCUCCGUGGGGAACCAACCUCAGCUUUUAGGCUCCUUCAGACACUGCAGAAUGCAUCUUUUCUGGGGAAUUCCACAAUAAAAUGACUGUUAUUUAUCAUUACAAACCUCUUUAUCAUUUAGUCAAUAAAAGGCCUCUCUCUCUCUCA